Small nuclear RNA from Pseudophryne corroboree (corroboree frog), 108 nucleotides. Lineage: Eukaryota; Metazoa; Chordata; Amphibia; Anura; Myobatrachidae. The record is from RefSeq and is a predicted model, not a curated record.
UUGCUCUCUUCAGCAGCACAUAUACUAAAAUUGGAACGUUGCAGAGAAGAUUAUCAUUGGCCCCUGCACAAAGAUGACAUGCAAAUUCGGGAAGCAUUCCAUAUUUUU